RNAcentral lists this ribosomal RNA (1374 nucleotides) under Triticum aestivum (bread wheat). RNAcentral describes it as "partial small subunit ribosomal RNA". Lineage: Eukaryota; Viridiplantae; Streptophyta; Magnoliopsida; Poales; Poaceae. The record is from RNAcentral.
AUGGCGCCGACGGCCAAGGCUUCGUCCACCAAGCAGCACCGCCUGCUCCGCGCUCGCCGUUCUUCUUCAAAGCGCACGGCCGCUUUGAGCCCAGAGGCGCUGCUUGGUGCCACCCUCCCUGGCGUCCACCACCGCUUCGUGCCGGUGUUGCAGCAAGAUGACGCCGUCGCCACAGGUCCGACGCGAGAUGCUGCUCUCUCCGACGAGACCCUGGCGGUCCACGCCGGGGAGAAGAUGGGCGGCAUGGUGGGCACCGACUCGAUCGCAACGCCGAUCGUGAGCGGCACGACGCACUGGUUCAAGAGCUCCCGGAACCUCAUCGCGUUCAAGGAAGGCCGGCGCCACAGCUUCGAGUACGGCCGCUACAGCAACCCCACUGUGAAGGUCCUGGAGGACAAGAUCAGUGCGCUGGAGAGGGCCGAGUCGACGCUGGUCACGUCCUCCGGCAUGAACGCCAUCGUCGCCACGCUGCUCGCGCUCGUGCCGGCUGGCGCCGGCCACGUGGUGACCACGACCGAGUGCUACAGCGAGGCGCGCGCCUUCAUCCGCGACAAGCUCUCCAAGAUGGGCAUCAAGGUGACAUUCGUCGAGCUCAACGACAUGGGCACGCUCAAGGCCGUUCUUGACCAAGGCAAUGUGACACUCUUCUACACCGACUCUCCGACGAACCCUCAUCUCAAGUGCAUCGACAUUAAGCUCGUGGCGGAGCUUUGCCACAGAAAAGGGGCUCUUGUGUGCAUCGACAGCACCCUCGCCUCGCCCAUCAACCAGAAGCCGCUCACCCUCGGGGCCGACAUCGUCGUGCACUCCGCCACAAAGUACAUCGCCGGCCAUCACGACGUCAUGGCAGGAUGCAUUAGUGGCUCCAAGGACCUCAUCUCCAGGAUACGUGCGUGGCACCACGACCUUGGCGGCGCCAUAAGUCCGGACGCAGCCUACAUGAUCAUACGAGGCCUCAAGACGAUGGCACUACGCGUGGAGACGCAAAACCACACAGCUUUGCGCAUGGCACGCCUGCUCGAGAACCAUCCCAAGAUCGAGCAGGUGUACUACCCUGGGCUCUUGAGCAGCCCGUGGCACGACAUCGCCAAGCGCCAGAUGACGGGUUUCGGCGGCGUCAUCAGCUUCGAGGUGGCGUCGGAUCUUCACGGUGUCAUGAUGUUUGUCGACGCGCUAGAGAUACCAUUCAUCGCAACGUCGCUCGGCGGGUGUGAGAGUCUGGUGCAGCAGCCGGCUGUCAUGUCCUUCUGGGGGCAGAGUGGCGAGGAGAAGGCAAAGAAUGGGAUCAAGGACAACUUGGUGAGAUUUAGUUUUGGGAUUGAGAACUUUGAGGAUCUCAGGGAUGACAUUCUCCAAGCCCUCGAGAAGAUUUAG